GUUUUAAAUGUACGGUUAUGGAGGGGAUCUUAUUUUAGAGCCAAAGGGGAAAUAUCCAGCCGUCACAAGAAAAGUCACACACGAUCAGAUCAAGUCAUGUUCACUUGUUAACCAAAAGCCAACACAUCUAGGUCACCGCUUGCAAGAAUAGAUCCAUAUAAGCAGAAAAGCAAAGGAAGAAGCGCCCAUUCCUUUUUGGGAAGGUUCUCACAGCAGAUUAGAGGAAUCACCAAUCCAGGGGAAGUAGGAGGAGGAGGAGGAGGAGAUGGAGGAGAGGGGGAAGGUGGUGUGCAUGGCGAAGCUGGCCGAGCAGGCGGGGAGAUACGAUGAUAUGGUGGAUUUUAUGAAGAAGCUUGCUAGGAUGGAUGUGGAUAUGAGCGUUGAAGAGAGGCAUUUAUUUUCAGUUGGUUUUAAGAAUACAAUUGGUGCAAGGAGGGCAUCAUGGAGAAUCCUUUCUUCACUUGAGCAAAAGGUGGCAGCGGGUGAGCAGGCUGGCCGGAUGAUAAGUGUCUACAGAACGAAAGUUGAGGAUGAACUAAGGAUGGUUUGCAAUGAAAUAUUGUCAAUCAUCGCUAUUCAUUGCCUUCCCUUGGCUAAUGCGGGUGAAAACGUUGUGUUCUUUCAUAAAAUGAAAGGUGACUACUACCGUUACCUGGCUGAAUUUAGCACUGGGGUUGAAAAGAAGUCUGCUGCUGACCAAUCACUCAUGGCCUAUCAGCAUGCCAUGGUUGUUGCCUCCACCGAGCUUUCGCCUGCUCAUCCAAUCAGGCUUGGCCUUGCGCUCAAUUUCUCAGUGUUCUUUUAUGACAUAAUGAACUGUCAUCAGAGAGCUUGCCAAGUUGCAAAACAAGCAUUUGAUGAGGCUACUACUGAGAUUAAUUCCGCUGGUAUGGAUGGCAACAACGAUAGCACACUAAUGAUGCAGCUUCUGAACGACAACCUAGCAUUGUGGAAGUCAGAACUAACUGAAGGUGAAACCUCGAAGGAUAGCGACAUCGAUAUGGAGGAGGGAUAACUGGAAUGUGCUGAAGGCUCCCCUGCAUGCAUGUGUGCAAAAUGACCAGAACAUAAUGGUACCAAACCUGCUGGACACUGUUGGUUUUUGUGACAAUGCGCUGAUACAAUUUUCCGACAUUUUAGCAGGGAUAACUGGAAUGUGCUUCAAGGCUCCCUCCCUAGCACGUAUGUGUGUGAAAUAACCAGAACAUAGUGCUACCAUUGAAAUCGCCCCAAAGUGCCUUGCCUACUGUGCAGCUUGUUAGUAGUUCUGGGGUCCUCGCUUGGUGUUUUCCUAGGCUUUCCACAGUAUGGAUUGGUAACCAUGUGCCCAGCUUUGCUCAUGUUUUGAGAGCUUGGAGCAGUGACCAUCCAUCUUUGAUGCUUUUGUUUCUAGUUUUCCUCCAUGCGUAUUAAGCGUUGCUGUAUACUGGCGAGCUAUAUGUAACUAGUAGUAUCUCAGCUAUCAAUGACGAAAAACUGUCAUUUUUUUCAUUUGAAAUGCUUCAGCC
Molecule: ribosomal RNA, 1508 nt
Filed under: Triticum aestivum (bread wheat)
Lineage: Eukaryota; Viridiplantae; Streptophyta; Magnoliopsida; Poales; Poaceae
Description: partial small subunit ribosomal RNA
Source: RNAcentral